This 659-nucleotide long non-coding RNA is filed under the name Rattus norvegicus (Norway rat). Its description in RNAcentral is "long non-coding RNA NONRATT010443". Lineage: Eukaryota; Metazoa; Chordata; Mammalia; Rodentia; Muridae. The record is from RNAcentral.
GGAGAGGGUGGCAGGGGUUAAGAUGGAGACCAAGGUACCCAGUAUCUGGGUUCUCUGUCACAUGGUGUUUCUGGGCCUAGCCAGAGUGCCAUAGUCUCUAACCCAUGGUGAUUUCUCCUGCCCUAGCCUCCUGAGUGUUGGGGUUCUGGGUGUACACCACUAUGCCUGGCCGUACCCCCAUGUCUCCCUCCCUUUACUCUUUUUUCCAGUUGACCUUCCCGCCCCCCUUUUUUUUUCAGACUUGACCUGGUACUUCGAGGGUAAGGGGCCCCCACCCAAGUUACAGGCAACUGAGAUUGGAUUGGGGUCAACCUCUAAGACAGGCACUGUUGCCUACAGGCAGACAGCACUAUAGCCACAAGGCGGUUUGAAUGAGAUUAGCCUCCAUAGGCUCAUAUGUGAAUUCUUGGUCCUCAGUGGACCCACCUGGGAAAGGUCAGGAGGUGUGGCGUUGGAUGAGGUGUGUCAGUCACUAGCCAUGGGCUUUGAGGUUUCCCUGCUAGCACACUCUCUGUGUCUCGUGCUUGUAAAUCAGAUGUAAGCUCUCAACCCCAGUACCAUUCCUGGCUGCCUGCCUGCUGCUGUGUUCACUGCCGUUUUGGUCACGGACUCUAAGCCUUUAGAAAUGUGAGCCCCAAAUUAAACUUUGUCAUUCCUAA